Molecule: transfer RNA, 87 nt
Filed under: Pseudomonadaceae bacterium
Lineage: Bacteria; Pseudomonadati; Pseudomonadota; Gammaproteobacteria; Pseudomonadales; Pseudomonadaceae
Also listed under: 1 other name
Description: tRNA-Leu
Rfam family: tRNA
About the family: Transfer RNA (tRNA) molecules are approximately 80 nucleotides in length. Their secondary structure includes four short double-helical elements and three loops (D, anti-codon, and T loops).
Source: RNAcentral
GCCCAGGUGGUGAAAUUGGUAUACACGCUAGCUUCAGGUGCUAGUGGCCGCAAGGCCGUGGAGGUUCAAGUCCUCUCCUGGGCACCA